This 151-nucleotide ribosomal RNA is filed under the name uncultured Escherichia sp. Its description in RNAcentral is "partial 16S ribosomal RNA". It matches the Rfam family "Bacterial small subunit ribosomal RNA", at positions 339 to 484 of the family's 1533-position model. The record is from RNAcentral. Lineage: Bacteria; Pseudomonadati; Pseudomonadota; Gammaproteobacteria; Enterobacterales; Enterobacteriaceae.
CUACGGGAGGCAGCAGUGGGGAAUAUUGCACAAUGGGCGCAAGCCUGAUGCAGCCAUGCCGCGUGUAUGAAGAAGGCCUUCGGGUUGUAAAGUACUUUCAGCGGGGAGGAAGGGAGUAAAGUUAAUACCUUUGCUCAUUGACGUACCGCAG